RNAcentral lists this long non-coding RNA (526 nucleotides) under Vulpes vulpes (red fox). RNAcentral's name for it is "lncRNA (ENSVVUG00000018711.1)". The record is from RNAcentral. Lineage: Eukaryota; Metazoa; Chordata; Mammalia; Carnivora; Canidae.
UUCCAGGAGAAACUGAGAGACAACAUAGCAAUAGUAAUAGCAACAACAACAACAACAAUAAUGCAGAAGUUUAACUUAAUUCUUUCAGUGCUACGGUGCUUUUCCUGUGAGUUCCUGGCUUUCCAAUACAGAGUUCCGUAUUUAUUGGGAUUAAACAAGGUAUUUAGUUUGUCAGCAGCAAAGAUGUUAUGCAACCAAGUGGACAUUUGAAAGAAGUAGAGGAAAGGUCAUUGCAGCAGCAGAUUGGAACAGAAAUAGCAAGAGCUAUAGAAAGGCAAUUGAUCAGUUGAUGAAGUCAUGGUGCCUUAUGUCUGUACAGUGAGAGCUUUCGGAGAGAUUGAGAAUUCUCUGCAGUUGAAUGUAAUUCAAAUACAAAAUUAAAAAAAAGAAGACCAGUUAAAGAUGAACACAUGUAAAUGAACAUGGAAAACAGAUUGGUGUGGGACAUGAAAGAGAAUUAGCACAGCCCAGAGAAAAUACAUGGUGACCGGUGUGGAAAUAAAUGAAGACCAAUCGAAUGAGAACA